This 385-nucleotide ribosomal RNA is filed under the name uncultured Pseudomonas sp. RNAcentral describes it as "bacterial SSU rRNA". It matches the Rfam family "Bacterial small subunit ribosomal RNA", at positions 30 to 415 of the family's 1533-position model. The record is from RNAcentral. Lineage: Bacteria; Pseudomonadati; Pseudomonadota; Gammaproteobacteria; Pseudomonadales; Pseudomonadaceae.
AUUGAACGCUGGCGGCAGGCCUAACACAUGCAAGUCGAGCGGAUGAUGGGAGCUUGCUCCCGGAUUCAGCGGCGGACGGGUGAGUAAUGCCUAGGAAUCUGCCUGGUAGUGGGGGACAACGUUUCGAAAGGAACGCUAAUACCGCAUACGUCCUACGGGAGAAAGCAGGGGACCUUCGGGCCUUGCGCUAUCUUAUGAGCCUAGGUCGGAUUANCUANUUGGUGGGGUAAAGGCCUACCAAGGCGACGAUCCGUAACUGGUCUGAGAGGAUGAUCAGUCACACUGGAACUGAGACACGGUCCAGACUCCUACGGGAGGCAGCAGUGGGGAAUAUUGGACAAUGGGCGAAAGCCUGAUCCACCCAUGCCGCGUGUGUGAAGAAGGU